GAUGGAGCACGCCGCGUGAGUGAAGAAGGCUUUCGGGUCGUAAAACUCUGUUGUUGGAGAAGAAUGGUCGGCAGAGUAACUGUUGUCGGCGUGACGGUAUCCAACCAGAAAGCCACGGCUAACUACGUGCCAGCAGCCGCGGUAAUACGUAGGUGGCAAGCGUUAUCCGGAUUUAUUGGGCGUAAAGCGAGCGCAGGCGGUUUUUUAAGUCUGAUGUGAAAGCCCUCGGCUUAACCGAGGAAGCGCAUCGGAAACUGGGAAACUUGAGUGCAGAAGAGGACAGUGGAACUCCAUGUGUAGCGGUGAAAUGCGUAGAUAUAUGGAAGAACACCAGUGGCGAAGGCGGCUGUCUGGUCUGUAACUGACGCUGAGGCUCGAAAGCAUGGGUAGCGAACAGGAUUAGAUACCCUGGUAGUCCAUGCCGUAAACGAUGAAUGCUAGGUGUUGGAGGGUUUCCGCCCUUCAGUGCCGCAGCUAACGCAUUAAGCAUUCCGCCUGGGGAGUACGACCGCAAGGUUGAAACUCAAAGGAAUUGACGGGGGCCCGCACAAGCGGUGGAGCAUGUGGUUUAAUUCGAAGCAACGCGAAGAACCUUACCAGGUCUUGACAUCUUUUGAUCACCUGAGAGAUCAGGUUUCCCCUUCGGGGGCAAAAUGACAGGUGGUGCAUGGUUGUCGUCAGCUCGUGUCGUGAGAUGUUGGGUUAAGUCCCGCAACGAGCGCAACCCUUAUGACUAGUUGCCAGCAUUUAGUUGGGCACUCUAGUAAGACUGCCGGUGACAAACCGGAGGAAGGUGGGGGAUGACGUCAAAUCAUCAUGCCCCUUAUGACCUGGGCUACACACGUGCUACAAUGGAUGGUACAACGAGUUGCGAGACCGCGAGGUCAAGCUAAUCUCUUAAAGCCAUUCUCAGUUCGGACUGUAGGCUGCAACUCGCCUAC
This 941-nucleotide ribosomal RNA is filed under the name Lacticaseibacillus paracasei. Its description in RNAcentral is "bacterial SSU rRNA". It matches the Rfam family "Bacterial small subunit ribosomal RNA", at positions 385 to 1319 of the family's 1533-position model. The record is from RNAcentral. Lineage: Bacteria; Bacillati; Bacillota; Bacilli; Lactobacillales; Lactobacillaceae.